GUAGGUGGCAAGCGUUGUCCGGAAUUAUUGGGCGUAAAGCGCGCGCAGGCGGUUCUUUAAGUCUGAUGUGAAAGCCCACGGCUCAACCGUGGAGGGUCAUUGGAAACUGGAGAACUUGAGUACAGAAGAGGAAAGCGGAAUUCCACGUGUAGCGGUGAAAUGCGUAGAGAUGUGGAGGAACACCAGUGGCGAAGGCGGCUUUCUGGUCUGUAACUGACGCUGAGGCGCGAAAGCGUGGGGUAGCAAACAGGGAUUAGAUACCCUGGUAGUCCACGCCGUAAACGAUGAGUGCUAAGUGUUAGGGGGUUUACCGCCCCCUUAGUGCUGCAGCUAACGCAUUAAGCACUCCGCCUGGGGAGUACGGCCGCAAGGCUG
Molecule: ribosomal RNA, 375 nt
Filed under: uncultured organism
Description: partial 16S ribosomal RNA
Rfam family: Bacterial small subunit ribosomal RNA
Source: RNAcentral